This is a non-coding RNA of Arthroderma uncinatum, 94 nucleotides long. Lineage: Eukaryota; Fungi; Ascomycota; Eurotiomycetes; Onygenales; Arthrodermataceae. The record is from the annotation of a RefSeq genome assembly.
GCCUGGCUAGCUCAAUCGGUAGAGCGUGUGACUCUUACUUCUAGCAAGUUGGUCGUCCAUCACAAGGCUGCGGGUUCGAGCCCCGCGUCGGGCU